UACGAAGGGGGCUAGCGUUGCUCGGAAUCACUGGGCGUAAAGCGCACGUAGGCGGAUUGCUAAGUCAGGGGUGAAAUCCUGGAGCUCAACUCCAGAACUGCCUUUGAUACUGGCGAUCUUGAGUCCGGAAGAGGUAAGUGGAACUGCGAGUGUAGAGGUGAAAUUCGUAGAUAUUCGCAAGAACACCAGUGGCGAAGGCGGCUUACUGGUCCGGUUCUGACGCUGAGGCGCGAAAGCGUGGGGAGCAAACAGG
Molecule: ribosomal RNA, 253 nt
Filed under: uncultured bacterium
Lineage: Bacteria
Description: partial 16S ribosomal RNA
Rfam family: Bacterial small subunit ribosomal RNA
Source: RNAcentral